CCAUUGAAUCAUCUAAUUCUUAAAAGAUUAGUUAAAAGAAAGCAUUGAGUUUGCAUUACAUUUUUGUUUGGUUUAAUCUUGCAGUGUUUCUAACCUAUGUGAUAUAAUCGUGUCAAUCGUUGACACUUUAAAAGCUUAGUUAAAAAGAAGCAUCAAGUUUGGAUUACAUUUUUUUGCAGUGCUUCUAACCUGUCAGUGACGAAUCUACAGAACAGAAACUGAAAAAGACAGAAAACAGUACAGAAAAUUUUGUGAAUCGAUAUGAUGAUUGCCUCGGAAGAACGUAAAAAGGUCCAUGGAUUCGCGGAUCGCUCCUCGGACCGAAAGGGUUGAUUAAUUAAUUAAUUCAGCAACUCCAAUAUUGUUCCGCGAAAUUGAAAUGUACACAGUGAGAUUGCUACACGACGAAAAUUCAAAAUCUACAGAAGGUUCUACUGUAUUAAAUGCACAACUUAAGCACAACGAUCGAAGGACUAUUGGUCGAUGAUAAUUGAAAAAUGUAUCCCGGCGAGGUAGUUUCGCGAGGAUCGAGUUAUUUUACGUGGAGAUGUGCAGUGAGGCGCA
This is a long non-coding RNA of Frieseomelitta varia, 564 nucleotides long. RefSeq lists it as uncharacterized. The record is from RefSeq and is a predicted model, not a curated record. NCBI's taxonomy places the organism in Eukaryota, Metazoa, Arthropoda, Insecta, Hymenoptera, Apidae. The transcript is spliced from 4 exons.